GUCCUGGUGUGCACAAAGUUUUGUUUUGAGCCCUCCAAGCAUCCCUGAUGGGUAUGGGGUUUGAUUCUAAACAUGAUUUUGUCCCUCCUACCAUCUUGUUGGGCUUCUCCUUUGCCCUUGAACAUGGGGUAUCUUUAUUUGGUGGGAUCCAACAUUCUCCUGUGAGUGGUUGUUCAGUGGUUAGUUGCAGUUUUGGAGUUCUCACAGAGAUGAAUGCACAUCCUUCUACUCCACCAUCCUGUUUAUGCUAGAUAGUAUAGAAUCGAUUAUACUAUUUUUAUAGAAACAUUGGUUAUUUAAUUUCAGUAAAAUACAUCUUAAGUAGUUGGCUAAUUUUCCAACUAAAUAAUAUUAAGGUUCUCCUACAGAUUGUUGUUUUCAUAAUAAUUCAGUAAAAGUUGGAAAUGAUUGUUUCUAGGUGGAUGCAGUGUCAAUUUCACAGUCCUCAGAGCUGGCUAAUAUGGUUCAUUAUUUCAAACUGUUACGGAAUGAAGUUCACUAUUACUGUUAAUUAAAAGUUUAUACUACAAAACAUUGUGAACCAUUUUUGUCCACACUCCUAUAUUUAAUUCAGAUUUUACACGUGUUGGCAUAAUCUAUUUACUUUUCUAUUAUUAAAAGCUAUUAAUUCACAGUUAAUAAAUUCCAAAUGAGAAUAAUUUCCUUAUUGAAAUGUGUGGGGGCCUUGGAGAGUCUUAGAGCUGAUUAAUUUGCCAAGAUUAAAAACAAUAACAAUUGUAAUUGACUCAAUUGGCUUCUGAAACUCUGGUAUUUGCGUGUAUUUCAGGAUAAUGAUAACUGUCCAAAAUAUUUCCUGUGGUAGGAAACUAAAAUCUUUUUUAAAAGAGAGGAAAUCAAGAGAAUCUAUAGAAUAUCAUGAAGUUCAUAUAGCAGAAACAAAAGUAGAAUUUUAUGUAAUCUUAACCUUUCAAAUCAGAGGACAAAAUCACACUGAACAUCAUACAUAUAAAUGUAUAUAUCAAUUCACUCUUUUAUUCUUUGCUUGAAUUGCCUCAAAGUCUUCUAAAACAUAUACUGAUAUGCUUUCACAAAUAGCUGAUUCUAUUUUGUGGCACUCAUCAAGAAACAGGAAAGAUGUUUCAACAAAGAACAAAAUUACACAGGAACACAUUAUUUCAUGACUUCACCCAUCUCCUUACUCUGCUUCUCUCCUUUUUCAAACUCUGAAGAAGAACAAAGUAGUCAAUGUAUUCCAGUAAGAAACUGGUCAAGGUCUAUUUCCCUAUGACACUCAGCUAUAUUAGAGUUAUUCUCUUACAGAAAGAUAACAUAUAAUUUUAUUCUG
Molecule: long non-coding RNA, 1306 nt
Filed under: Capra hircus (goat)
Lineage: Eukaryota; Metazoa; Chordata; Mammalia; Artiodactyla; Bovidae
Description: lncRNA (ENSCHIG00010006227.1)
Source: RNAcentral